This 1119-nucleotide long non-coding RNA is filed under the name Capsicum annuum. RNAcentral's name for it is "long non-coding RNA (CANN_LNC009280)". The record is from RNAcentral. Lineage: Eukaryota; Viridiplantae; Streptophyta; Magnoliopsida; Solanales; Solanaceae.
AAGUUAACAGGAAUGUCUUUCCGAGUUCCAACUGUGGAUGUCUCUGUGGUUGAUCUCACAGUGAGGUUGGAGAAAGAAGCUACCUAUGAUGAAAUCAAGGCUGCUAUCAAGUAAGACGGUGUACUUUACUCCUUCCCUGUGCCCUGUAAAAAAAUGCUAAAAGCUUGUGUGCUUCAUUCAAUUCUGGCAAGUAUAUACUACAUGUCUUUCUCCAUUCACGCAAAAAGAUCAAUAGUGCCGGGUGAAAUAGUAGAGAUGGCCUAAUGGCCUCUAUUCAUCUCGUCUUAAUAGCUGCCGGCUAUUUUAUAUUAAUUUGCUCUUUUUUUUUUUGCUAUUGCAUUUCAUUAGGGAGGAGUCUGAAGGAAAAUUAAAGGGAAUUGUAGGUUACACUGAAGAUGACGUGGUAUCUACAGACUUUAUUGGGGACAACAGGUGAGGAUGAAUUGUUGAAGUUUUGUUCCAUAUUAUGUGCCUGAAUGAGGAUGAUGGAUGGAUUUUCCUCACUCAAAAUUUUUAAGUGUCAUGCUUCUGCGUAAUGCAUUUUUUUCGUGACCUCAGCUCAAGUGUUUCUCUUGUGAAUUCCCUUUGUAUUGACCCAGCGUGAACAGUACUAGAGAGCUGAAGCGUUAAUUUGACUGAUUUGUAAUUCAAAUGAAAAUAAUUUGCAGAUCAAGCAUCUUUGACGCCAAGGCUGGAAUUGCUUUGAGCAAGACCUUUGUGAAGCUUGUUUCUUGGUAUGACAACGAAGUGGGAUACAGGUAAAUCUUAAGAACUUUACAUGCCUUUAAAUUUAGAGCUGCUGUAAGCCUGUGCUAUUACACGGGAUCUUAUUCUGGUAAAGGGUCAAUAAUAUGCGUAUCUUCCCAUCUUUUAGCAUUCUUCUUCACAAGAACUGUGUUGGCAUUUAAUGGUUUAUGGUCCGAUGCUAAUGUUUUUCCUUGCUGGGAUUGCAGCACCCGGGUGGUGGACUUGAUUAAGCACAUGGCAUCAGUCCAGUAAAGUGGCAGUUCCGAGCACGAUGUUGCCUUAGUUGACGCUUGCUAGGCAUAUUUAGAAGUGCAAAAAUGCAGUUUAGAAUAAAGCAAAACGAGAGGCUGUUUCACGGGUCUUGAGUGUGGC